Brassica oleracea var. oleracea is the source of this 87-nucleotide long non-coding RNA. RefSeq lists it as uncharacterized. The record is from RefSeq and is a predicted model, not a curated record. The transcript has 2 exons. Lineage: Eukaryota; Viridiplantae; Streptophyta; Magnoliopsida; Brassicales; Brassicaceae.
AGAAUUGAGUUCAUAAGUCUGUGAUUACAUUCAUGCGAUCUUCUUGAAGACAGAUUGAGGUGACAAACGCGGCCAUAGCAUCGUUGG